GAUGAACGCUAGCGAUAGGCUUAACACAUGCAAGUCGAGGGGCAGCAUGGUCUUAGCUUGCUAAGACUGAUGGCGACCGGCGCACGGGUGCGUAACGCGUAUGCAACUUGCCUCACAGAGGGGGAUAACCCGUCGAAAGACGGACUAAUACCGCGUACACUCCAUCUUGGGCAUCCAAGGUAGAGGAAAUGAAAUUCGCUGUGAGAUAGGCAUGCGUCCCAUUAGCUAGUUGGUGAGGUAACGGCUCACCAAGACGACGAUGGGUAGGGGAACUGAGAGGUUGAACCCCCACACUGGUACUGAGACACGGACCAGACUCCUACGGGAGGCAGCAGUGAGGAAUAUUGGUCAAUGGGCGAGAGCCUGAACCAGCCAAGUCGCGUGAAGGAUGACUGUCUUAUGGAUUGUAAACUUCUUUUAUACGGGAAUAACAAGAGUCACGUGUGACUCCCUGCAUGUACCGUAUGAAUAAGCAUCGGCUAACUCCGUG
RNAcentral lists this ribosomal RNA (490 nucleotides) under uncultured bacterium. Its description in RNAcentral is "partial 16S ribosomal RNA". It matches the Rfam family "Bacterial small subunit ribosomal RNA", at positions 28 to 507 of the family's 1533-position model. The record is from RNAcentral.